Molecule: ribosomal RNA, 490 nt
Filed under: uncultured bacterium
Lineage: Bacteria
Description: partial 16S ribosomal RNA
Rfam family: Bacterial small subunit ribosomal RNA
Source: RNAcentral
AUUGAACGCUGGCGGCAGGCCUAACACAUGCAAGUCGAACGGUAACAGGAAACAGCUUGAUGUUUCGCUGACGAGUGGCGGACGGGUGUGUAAUGUCUGGGAAACCGCCUGAUGGAGGGGGAUAACUACUGGAAACGGUCGCUAAUACCGCAUAACGUCGCAAGAAAAAAGAGGGGGACCUUCGGGCCCCUUGCCAUCGGAUGUGCCCAGAUGGGAUUAGUUUGGAGGUGGGGUACCCGCUCACCUAGGCGACGAUCCCGAGCUGGUAUCAGAGGAUGACCAGCCACACUGGAACUGAGACACGGUCCAGACUCCGACGGGAGGCAGCAGUGGGGAAUAUUGCGCAAUGGGGGAGAGCCGGAUGCAGCCAUGCCGCGUGUAUGAAGAAGGCCUUCGGGUUGUAAAGUACUUUCAGCGGGGAGGAAGGGAGUAAAUUUAAUACCCUUACUCAUUGACGUUACCCGCAGAAGAAGCACCGGCUAACUCCGUG